This 472-nucleotide ribosomal RNA is filed under the name uncultured organism. RNAcentral describes it as "partial 16S ribosomal RNA". It matches the Rfam family "Bacterial small subunit ribosomal RNA", at positions 334 to 797 of the family's 1533-position model. The record is from RNAcentral.
CACUCCUACGGGAGGCAGCAGUGGGGAAUUUUGGACAAUGGGCGAAAGCCUGAUCCAGCAAUGCCGCGUGUGUGAAGAAGGCCUUCGGGUUGUAAAGCACUUUUGUCCGGAAAGAAAUCCUUGGCUCUAAUACAGUCGGGGGAUGACGGUACCGGAAGAAUAAGCACCGGCUAACUACGUGCCAGCAGCCGCGGUAAUACGUAGGGUGCGAGCGUUAAUCGGAAUUACUGGGCGUAAAGCGUGCGCAGGCGGUUUGCUAAGACCGAUGUGAAAUCCCCGGGCUCAACCUGGGAACUGCAUUGGUGACUGGCAGGCUAGAGUAUGGCAGAGGGGGGUAGAAUUCCACGUGUAGCAGUGAAAUGCGUAGAGAUGUGGAGGAAUACCGAUGGCGAAGGCAGCCCCCUGGGCCAAUACUGACGCUCAUGCACGAAAGCGUGGGGAGCAAACAGGAUUAGAUACCCCAGUAGUCCCA